GAGGAAUUUUUCACAACGGACGAAAGUCUGAUGGAGCAAUACCACGUGAACGAUGAAGGUCUUCUGAUUGUAAAGUUCUUUUAUUUAGGAAAAAAAGCGCGCUAGGAAAUGAGCGCGCCUUGAUGGUACUAAUUGAAUAAGUGACAGCUAACUAUGUGCCAGCAGCUGCGGUAAAACAUAGGUCACGAGCAUUAUCCGGAUUUAUUGGGCGUAAAGGAAGCGUAGGUGGGGAGGUUGAUCCAUUGUUAAAGGCAUUUGCUUAACAAAUGUAUGCGAUGGAGAUCGCCUCCCUAGAGUUAAUCAGGGGGUACUGGAAUUCAACGUGUAGCGGUGGAAUGCGUAGAUAUAUUGAGGAACACCAGAGGCUAAGGCGAGUACCUAGGAUAUAACUGACACUGAGGCUUGAAAGCGUGGGGAGCAAAUGGGAUUAGAUACCCCAGUAGUCCACGCCGUAAACGAUGGGCAUUAGGUAUUUGACAUCUGGUCGAGUGCUGUAGCUAACGCGUUAAAUGCCCCGCCUGGGUAGUAUAUACGCAAAUAUGAAACUCAAAGAAAUUGACGGGGACCUGAACAAGUGGUGGAGCAUGUUGCUUAAUUCGAUAAUACACGAAAAACCUUACCAAGGCUUGCAAUCUACUGCAAAGCUAUAGAAAUAUAGUGGAGGCAAUCAGUAAGACAGGUGGUGCAUGGCUGUCGUCAGCUCGUGUCUUGAGAUGUUUGGUUAAGUCCCGUAACGAGCGCAACCCUACUCUCUAGUUACCUAGUUCUAGAGUGACUGAAUCGUAAGAUAUAGGAAGGUUGGGGCCAAGUCAAGUCAUCAUGCCCCUUAUGCCUUGGGCUGCAAACGUGCUACAAUGGUAGGUACAAUGUGUUGCAAACUAGCGAUAGUGAGCUAAUCACCUAAAGCCUAUCUCAGUCCGGAUAAAAGGCUGCAAUUCGCCUAUUUGAAGUUGGAAUCACUAGUAAUCCUGUGUCAGCUAUAUCAGGGUGAAUACGUUCC
RNAcentral lists this ribosomal RNA (1000 nucleotides) under Mycoplasma wenyonii. RNAcentral describes it as "bacterial SSU rRNA". It matches the Rfam family "Bacterial small subunit ribosomal RNA", at positions 356 to 1374 of the family's 1533-position model. The record is from RNAcentral. Lineage: Bacteria; Bacillati; Mycoplasmatota; Mollicutes; Mycoplasmatales; Mycoplasmataceae.